UACGUAGGGUGCAAGCGUUAUCCGGAUUCACUGGGUUUAAAGGGUGCGUAGGCGGGCUUGUAAGUCAGUGGUGAAAGCCCGGAGCUUAACUCCGGAACUGCCAUUGAUACUGCAAGUCUUGAGUACACUUGAGGUGGGCGGAAUACAUCAUGUAGUGGUGAAAUACUUAGAUAUGAUGUAGAACACCGAUUGCGAAGGCAGCUCACUAAAUUGUAACUGACGCUGAGGCACGAAAGCGUGGGGAGCAAACAGG
RNAcentral lists this ribosomal RNA (253 nucleotides) under uncultured bacterium. RNAcentral's name for it is "partial 16S ribosomal RNA". It matches the Rfam family "Bacterial small subunit ribosomal RNA", at positions 524 to 776 of the family's 1533-position model. The record is from RNAcentral.